CUGAACCAGCCAAGUAGCGUGAAGGAUGACUGCCCUAUGGGUUGUAACUUCUUUUAUAAAGGAAUAAAGUCGGGUAUGUAUACCCGUUUGCAUGUACUUUAUGAAUAAGGAUCGGCUAACUCCGUGCCAGCAGCCGCGGUAAUACGGAGGAUCCGAGCGUUAUCCGGAUUUAUUGGGUUUAAAGGGAGCGUAGAUGGAUGUUUAAGUCAGUUGUGAAAGUUUGCGG
Molecule: ribosomal RNA, 226 nt
Filed under: uncultured bacterium
Lineage: Bacteria
Description: partial 16S ribosomal RNA
Rfam family: Bacterial small subunit ribosomal RNA
Source: RNAcentral